GCUUUGUCUUCAACAUAAUAUAUUUAUUAAAUAAAUGUAACUGUGUAAUCAUGGAAUCUAAGCACAGGAGGAUUUCCAAGCUUCACCUCACAUCAAAUGCAGGCAUCAUAUAGCCUCUAGGCCUUGGGUUAUGUCAGGGAUUUUUGCUUUUCACUUAGACUUGCAGUUGUCUUUCUUAGAAGAUAUGAAACAUGUUGGUCCCACCUCUAGCCAAGUAAAAACAGGUAUGUGAAUAAAAUGACUAUCAAAACAGGUUCUUUUCAAAGCGUUGGAAAUAUUGGAUUUCUCUUGGCUGUGAAUGUAGUGGGAGUCUUGAUGUCUUCGUCAUAUUGGGGAGCUUUUUAUUCAGCAUACUAAAAACAUGUAUCUAGCAAUUUCUAGAGGGUGCCAGGACUUUUCUUGGGGUUAGAGUAAUGAAGAUGAUUAUACAAUGGCCUCUAUCCAGUUGACGCAACUGAUUAGAUUAGCUAAAUGUUACAGGGCACGGUGGUAUAAAAAAAUUCCUGGAAGACGGAAGAUUUUAUUCACCACAUAAGCAGUCAUGGGGUAGGUGUUCCACAACUAGUUGGAUGUGUCAAGGCACAGCAUCCUACAAAAACAUAGUCUGUUUUGAAAAAUUCAGUCUGCCUGAAGGUGGGUGGCUGGAGAAAAACUUGAGAAGUUAGGAGGGACCACAUCACCCAAUACCUGGUUAACCAACUAGGAGAGAUUUAAUGACUACCUGUAUAGCCAGCAGGAACAUUUAAUGUGGGGUACAAGAUCACCUUUGUUCUUUAGGAAGUUUGUAGUCAUUCAUAAAUCCAAAGGAAAAAGCAAAAAUUCAGGCCAUGUUAUGCCUCACAUGUAAAAUAGCCUGCUAUCCAGCCCUGGGCAUUGCAUUAUUCCAGUAAGGGCUAAUGUUGUAUAUUCUUCUCAACUAUUUCAAUAAAAAAUGUGGAGGAUACAUUCCAGUUGAAAGAUCACUUAUUUGAAUUUUACCUUUUAGUGCCAAGAUUGCAGGGAAAAAUAUCAUUUGUGAGCCUCUCGGAAGGUUGGCUGAUCUGCAGAUAGGAUAAAAUAUCCUGCAUGUACUCUCCAUUUGAUUUGUAAUUUACAUAGCAUCUCUUUGUUCAUCAAGGAACACCCUGCAUGACUUCCUGACACUGACCUGGAUUUUACUUAUGGCUGCCCUAAAUUGUGUUAUCAUGGUGUACCGGUUGUUCAGUAUUCAGCCUUGCUCCUCUGUAACUUAAUAUUAUGAUUUAUUUCUGACUUGGCUUUUCUUUAUCGAAUGCUGACUUUUUCUAAGAGGUUCAUGUGGAAAUGUGCUACAUGAAAAAAAAAAAAGGAGCACAGUUUGGCCUCAGGGCAAAAACAUGAAUACUGACCCAGGGACAUGAAUACAGGGCAGAAGAGAGAGUGGCACAGGCAACAAAAUUAACUCAUUUCUUUGCCUUUUGUGUGUUCCUAAGUGUGUGGAGUGACUCAAAUUUUAGCACAGAAAGUAAAGUUAGAAAGCAACUGCUAUUUGCCAACAACCCAUUCUUUAAUUCUCAAAGAUCAAAAAUUUGCUUGAAAACUGACAUUUUCAUUUUCUCCUGGCCCAGUGAACAAAGUUUUAAGGUUAUGUGGUCGCUCUGAUACCACCUAAGAAGCAAAUAUUUCUUGCAGUCUACUUCUAGAUGUGAAUGAACUGAAAGUAAAUGACUCAGAGAUGGAGUAAAUGUCCCUUGAAAUACACCCAAACUUAAUAAUUAGGAGAAGAGUGCUUGAAUAAACACAUUUAGAGUGUUAUUGAGCAUAUACAAGCUUAGAUGGUCCAUAUUUCUAAAAGACAGUGAGUCUAUAGCACAUUCUUCGGAGAUGAGAAAAUUAUGCCAUAAAUAAAAUUUGUAGUGGAGGCAUUUGUUUUAUCAUUCAGUUAAGUAGCAGGAAUUCUUUCAUACCUAGAGGGACUUAGGUAAAACUAAUAAACAGACAUACUUAACAACAAGAACAACAACAACAAAAAUAAAGCAUUACCAUUCAAGAGUGUGAAAUCACUUCUCUGAGAGCCUUUUUGGAUUGAAUAUUCUUUUUGGGCUGGUAAUGUCAAACUAAAACUUUACCUAAACACAGAUAACUAGGUGGCUCUUAGCAUACCUUUCAGGGCUUAUGGUCUCCAAUUAUUCCACUCACAUCCCCCUAUACAUUUCCAAAUCACCUCUUUCAGUGUCUCCAGUGUUUAAACAUGAACUGGAUAGAGUGUUGCAUGGUAGUAUUAAAUAAAAUUUAGCUUAAAGCUGUUUCCUUACAUAUUAUAAGUUCUGUCUAAAGGUUUCUACGUGCAUAGUAUACAUGUCAUUGAAAGUGUAAAUGGACUAUAACCUACUCUGAUACCAAUCACUGAGUUGUGGCCAAUCAAAGGUGGCCAACUGCUCAAACCACAUUCAAAUAUGGCAAAUGCUGAGCUGUAACCAAUCCCGUUGUUUCUGUACCUCAUUUCUGUUUUCUCUCUGUCACUUUUCUUUUUCUUUCCAUAAAUCUUCUUCAACCACCUGGCAGUGCCAGAGUUUCUCUGAACCCAUUCUGGCUUGGGGGAUGCCUGAUUCAUGAAUCAUUCUUUGCUCAAUUAAACUCUGUUUAAUUUAAUUUGUCUAAGGUUUUUCUUUUAACAGUAGAGAUAGGAGUACAACACACUUUGAGGUGUACAGGAGUGAGUUCAAAUCCUAGCUCUGUUAUUGGCUUGAUUUCUCAUCUUGAGCAAGGUACUUAGUUUCUCUGAGCCUUAGUUUCUGCACUUGUAAAUGUGGAGAAGUGAAACACCAGACUUGAGAGGAUGCUCUGCUAUCUGAACGAGGUAAUGGGAAAAUGCUCGGCCAGUGUUGUAACUCAAUCUUCUUAUCCAACAGUGAGCCCCUUGGGCACCCAGACCCAGACUCGCCCUUCUAGUCUCACGUCUUGCACUCUCUGGCACAUCUCAUGUAGGCUCUGUUGCCUGUCAUGUUUUCCAGUCCACAAAUACCCUUGGCAUGCUCUCAUGUCUGUACUUGGUCCACAUUAUUCUAACGUGAAUACAUGAAACUUCUAAUGACAGUGCAAUCUUUCUAGACAAUCUCUGAAGGAGAAAUGUUACUAGUCUGUGGUGAAUAUAAAAAUAGGCUCAUAGGGAAAAAAAACUGUGAUUGAAGGUAUAAUUCUGCAUUUUCUUGGGAUAUACAUAAAUAGCAAGUAGUCAUUUUUUACUUAAAAAAAAAAAAAGAAAUCUACAGAAAGAAAAUUUAGCUGUCUUUCUGUUGCUAACCUUCCAGGAGGCCUUGGUUCUCCUUUAAGGUUGAAGUUCGUUUGUGACAGGUUAGUGCUGCUCAUUUUUGUGGCUUUCCAGAAGCCACCGUGGAAAAGGCAGAAGUCUUCCCCUCCCAUUAUGCUGAGUCAGACAUGGCAUCUACAUGACUCAUCACCAAGUGGUUCUCCAGAAUUCACUUUGCUUGCUUUUCCCCAAUCCAGAUAAUCCUCGGGACUGGUAGCCACCCAACUCACUCCUGCACACUGUUCUUCCUCUUUGGAGGCACCCACCAUGCCUGUCUGAUGCUGCCCCUCAAGGUCACAUCGGAGUCUCCUGUACCUACCUUGUCUGUGGCUACCCAACUCUAUACAAUUUCUGAAGCUUUCAUAACACCCAGAUGGUCUAUAAUGUAAUAUGUGUUUAGAUAAUCCUCAGGCCAAAACAUCUUUCCAAAAUUUAACUGUAAAUCUGUCACUUCCAUGGGUUAUGUUAGUCUUUUCCAUGUUCAAAUGGCUAUCUGAGCUCCUGGGGAGGGGAAGUCACUCCCGGAGUUCUCUUUCCAUCAUUCAUAGUGUGAAUCUCACCUUGGGCUGGGAGGAAUUUGUGAUGGGCAUACAAGUGAGAAAAAGGGUGCAAAGGGGUGAGAUGGUAUGUUAGUCAGGGUUCUCUAGAGGGACAGAAUUAAUAGGAUAGAUGUAUAUACAAAGGGGAAUGUAUUAAGGAGUAUUAACUCACGAGAUCACAAGGUAAGGUUGCAUAAUAGGCCAUCUGCAACCUGAGGAGCAAGGAAGCCAGUCCAAGUCCCAAAGCUGAAGGACCUUGAGUCCAAUGUUUGAGGGCAGGAAGCAUCCAGCAUAUGGGAGAAAGAUGUAGGCUUGGAGGCUAAGCCAGUCUAAUCUUUUUUUUUUUUUUUGAGAUGGAGUUGCCCUCUGUCACCCAGGCUGGAGUGCAGUGGCGUGAUCUCAGCUCACUGCAACCUCCGCCUCCGCCUCGCAGUACCUGAGAUUACAGGUGCAUGCCAACACGGCUAAUUCUUGUAUUUUUAGUAGAUACAGGGUUUCACCAUGUUGGCCAGUUGGUCUGGAACGAACUCCUGACCUCAAGUGAUCCGCCCACCUCAGCCUCCGAAAGUUCUGCGAUUACAGGUGUGAGCCACUGUGCCUGGCCAAGCCUAAUCUUUCCACGUUCUUCUGCUUGCUUUUAUUCUAGUUACACUGUCAGCUGGUUAGAUGGUGCCCUCCCAGAUUGAAGGUAGAUCUGCGUUUCCCAGUCCACUGACUCAAAUGUUAAUCUCCUUUGGCAACGCCUUCACAGACACACCCAGAAUCAAUACAUUGCACCCUUCAAUCCAAUCAAGUUGACAUCCAGUAGUAACCAUCACAGAUGGCUAAUACGGGAGAUAUUCAUGAAGGGUCUGGGAAGGGGAUUUGGAAGAGAUAUGGACACAAAGGAAGGAGGAAAGAAAAGGGGAAGUGAGACGGGAACCAAACCAAACACCCUGUAUUGCACAAUUGAGCCUGGAGUUGGCCUGCUCGCCACAGAGCAGUCACAGGUUUUCAGGAUGCUUUAGUGAUAGCAGCCAUCAGUACCUCUCAUUAGGAGCAAAAGCCCUGAUUGGUAAUAGUAUAUUCUACUUAUUUAGAGAAUAAAAGUUCCCUGUUAGAACCAGCCUUCUCAGAAUGGCAUUCAGCUUUUCAGAAAAGCACAGCACCAGCAUAUUUCUUAUCUGCCUUGAAGGUUAUAAUAAAUCCCUUCUUCUGUUAAUUCAUAAAUCCUUCAGCCACAUGCCAUUUUGGGGCCAUAUGCUUUCUUUCCUCCCUCUAACCCUUGGAAAGAUCUUUCAUAUCCAAUCUCUGUAGAUAAUCUGAAUGUGAAAUCAGGUAUGGUUAUCUAAUCCCUCUAAUCAGAAGGUCAGCAGUUACCUGCAGCUUUUCCAUCUGUCCUCCAGCUGAAUGCUGCCAUUUAGUAAAUCAAAAAUUGGUUACAAAUUAGCAAAGCUGACUGGCUCAAUGAAAUCUAGCCUGGAGUCUUUGCUGGAAGGGGGGAAGUUUAAAUAUGGUUUGAAGGGAGAUUUGAGGUGAACUCUAUUUAUCAAAGCCGUGGAGUAGCAGCAUAAAAGAUGAGAGAUGUUCUCCUGGGUAAAAAUGUCAAAUCACAUGGGAAAUGGGAAUAUUUCACAUGGUGAUUACUGAAUUUUACAAUUGUUCGCAAAUUGAUUCAGCCCAGAAAUCAACUGGGAAGUCUCCCACAGGUGUCUAGCACUCUGCAGGUAUUAGCGUGAUACAGGGUAAGUCUCAAAGUACAAAAAAAAACACACAUGUGAAACAAUUUGCAAACAAUGAAGUGCUAACCUGUGUGGUGUGAAUUACAGAUGCAUUAGGACACCAGAAAAGGAAGAAAAGACAGUGGCAGCUGAAGACAUUUCAGGAAUGCUUCACUGAGAACCUAAGUCUUGUUCUGGGCCAUAAAGAAAAGGGGAGGGUGUGGUUUCUAUACCAGAGAUAAGAAAGGAGAAAAUUGGACGUGGAGGAAAGAUAUGAGUACCAAUCCGAGCGAACAAGGAAGAGUGAGUAAAUCUGUCCAGCUGGAGUUGGAGGUACAUUCUGGAAAAUGGUGAGAGAGGCUGUGUAGGGUAGGGGGACACGGAAAGAUGGGCCAAGACAUUUGGAGCUGAUAUUUGAUAUGGUUUGGCUGUGCCCCCACCCAAAUCUCAUCUUAAAUUGUAAUCCCCAUAAUCCCCACGUGUCGAGGGAGGGACCCGGUGGGAAGUGAUUGGAUCAUGGGGGCAGUUUUCCCCAUGGAAUUCUCGUGAUAGUGAGUGAGUUCUCACGAGAUCUCAUGGUUUUACAAGCGUCUGGUAUUUCACCUGAUUGCACUUCUCUCUUCUGCCUCCUAGUGAAAAAGGUGCCUGCUUCUCCUUCUGCCAUGAUUAUAAGUUUCCUGAGGCUUCCCCAGCCAUGCGUAACUCUCCUUCCCAUUUAUGAGAGAGCCACAUGACAUCAGCCCAUAGACUGUGGAGAGUAUUCCAGAUCUAUCACAUUCUGCGAUUCUGCGAUUCCCAGAAGGCUGGUCAUGAAAAAAUUCCCUCUUCAGUUUACAUAUAUGGCAGUGGCAAAAAAACUCUCAGCUACCAAAACUUCGAUUAUUAGAUGCACAUUGUUCUUUUGGUUGUGAAAAAUUCGAAGAAGUAGAUGUGGUCCUGGUUGAUGGAUGAACAUUGAGGCCCUCAAGUGCAUAAAGCUCCAGUGCCAUGACAGUUUUAAUCUUCUGGUUCCAUCUGCAUAGAUUUCAGUCUCUAAUUGAGGAAAAUCAUCUGUUUUUCUCAGGAGCCCCUUGAUUCAAGUUUACACAAAAUGUGCCUUUGGAGACUAUCCUGUUAAUUUAAACAGUUCAGAUCCCACUUGUAUGUGAGACAGAUGCUUCUCUGGCCAUCAGCCAGGUACCACUAAAGGAGGUACAGGCACUUCUAGAUAUCUGUUGAGGCCUGGAAGGGGCAAAACAAUUCAGGAAGCAGUUGAAGAUAAAGGGGUUUACCAUGGAAGAGAAGAUCCAGGUGCCUUCAUGGAAAUGCUUGUGGUUGAAAAGAGAUGAAGAUGAGGGUCCCUGGAAAGAGGAAGAACCAGCCAGGAAAAUUAUACCAUUAGCAAGACUGGCAUCAGCAAGUAGUUCGCAGUGUUGGUUGUUCUUGGUUUCGCAGGAUUUUAUAGGAGUUCUGAACACUGGGAAGUCCAAGAGCAAGGCAACAACAGAUUCAACAUCUGAUGGACCUUCUCCUAAAAGUCUUAUCUUCUAAGUCUCCUAAGUCUUGGACUUUUCAAGGCCAAAGAUUUAAAGGCCAAGUGGACCAUACGGGAGAUCUAGUUUCCCAUCCAGACAGCCAAGCUCAUGCAUCCCUGGAUUUGGAUGGAUGGUUUCCCAUGGGGCCUUGGACAGAUUGGACCCAGCACUGGCACAGGGUUGACUUGGAGGAAUAAGCUCCUGGAAACCUCAAUUAGCGUUUGGGGUAUGAACAUUAAACAAUACUGAAUCUGGAAACAAUACAUCACACAGCGGGUCCAAGGAAAUAAGCAGAAGGCUGGCAGCAGGCCAGGGCCAGGGGCCAAAUCGCUCCUCAAAGACAAUUCUUCAUGGAGAAAUGACAGCAGGUUUGAGGACAGCAGAAUUUCGCUCUUGUUGCCCAGGGCUGGAGUGCAAUGGUGCAAUCUCGGCUCACCACAACCACUGCCUCCUGGGUUCAAGCGAUUCUCCUGCCUCAGCCUCCUGAGUAGCUGGGAUUACAGGAAGUACAAAAACAUCCUUGCCGUUUGCUGGAAUGAUGUACUGCUGAAGGCAAUGGACACUGGGGUUGUUUGUCCCUAAUCACAAGUGAGCAAUACCAGAUCUAUUAUCUCAGGUUCAGAGAAGUGAGGUGUCUGACCUUCAGACAGGAUUGAAUGCAGAGUAAAAUAAUUCCAAAUAUGGUCUGGGCAUUGCAUGUAAUACAGAGUAAAAGUUAUUGUAAGACACUUUCGCCAGUUUCUGUCACUUGGUUCCUCAAAUGUUUAGUUCAUUCUAAUUACAUAAUCAGCCUUCUGAUUCAAUGAAGACUGAUGGGAUUGCUGACUUGCCACCCUGGAGUUCAGUUGGCAGCAAGUGAGGGAAAAGGUGAACUCUGUAAACAAGGUUUAGAAGCCCUUUUCUUAACUCUUUAUAAAACAGAGAAGAUGAGGAAGGAGAAAGGCACUGUCAUUAAGCUCUUAGCCAGGGAAUUACACAUACACACACGUGUGUGUGUGUGUAUUUCAACUCAAUGUACAAGGACUUCUCAGCCCAUAGCUACUUUGAACACAUUGUUUAUCCCCCAUAGCAUGAAGGACUAAAGGAACCAGAGAUUUCAUAAUCUCUGGCCUGUAACGUUUUUGCUGAAAUAUCUGCUGUUAUUCUAAUGGGGUUUCCUUUAAAGGUGACUAGUCACUCUUCUUUUGCUAAUUAAUUUUUUUUUUCACUUUGACUUUAGACAUUCUGAAUAUAAUAUGCUAUGAUGAAGCACUUUAUGCAAUGUAUAUUCCUGAGGAUUGCUGGGCCUCCUGUAACUAGAUGUCUGACUCUCUUGCUAGAUGUGGAAAGUUUUCAUCAAUUAUUUUCUUAAACAGGUUUUCUAAGCUUUUAAAUAAUCUUUCUUUCCCAUCAGGAAUACCAAUAAUUUCUAAUUUCAGUCACUUUAUGUAGUCCCAGACAUCUCAAAGGCUUUGUGCACUCCCUUUUAUACUUUUUUGUUGUCGUUAUCUUUGUCUUACUGGAUUAUUUCAAAAGACUUAUCUUCAAGUUCUGAGAUUCUUUCUUCUGCUUGAUCUAUUCUGUUAUUGAAGCUUUCAAAUACAUUUUGCAUUUCCUUCAAUAGUUUUUUUAGGUUUAGAUUUUCUGCUUUUGCUUUAUAAGAUACCCAUCUCCUUGAUACAUUUCUCAUUAAUAUCCUGAGUUAAUUUUCUAAUUUCUUGAAGUUGGCCCAAGGGUGGAAUGCAGCCCCGUGUUAAACUCUCAAAACUGUGCCUUGGGCCUGUGACCAGACAGAGCAGAUUUCUUCUCAAGUAAGUAGCAUAGAAAAGAGAGAUCCAAAUAAACACAAUCAUAAAUGAAAAAGGAGACAUUAUAGCUGAUAACACAGAGGCACAAAGAUCAUCAGAGACUAUUAUAAAUAACUAUAUGAUCACAAACC
This 8939-nucleotide long non-coding RNA is filed under the name Homo sapiens (human). Its description in RNAcentral is "HSALNT0250483". The record is from RNAcentral. Lineage: Eukaryota; Metazoa; Chordata; Mammalia; Primates; Hominidae.